This 495-nucleotide ribosomal RNA is filed under the name uncultured bacterium. RNAcentral's name for it is "partial 16S ribosomal RNA". It matches the Rfam family "Bacterial small subunit ribosomal RNA", at positions 28 to 507 of the family's 1533-position model. The record is from RNAcentral.
GACGAACGCUGGCGGCGUGCCUAAUACAUGCAAGUAGAACGCUGAAGGAGGAGCUUGCUUCUCUGGAUGAGUUGCGAACGGGUGAGUAACGCGUAGGUAACCUGCCUGGUAGCGGGGGAUAACUAUUGGAAACGAUAGCUAAUACCGCAUAAUAGUAGAUGUUGCAUGACAUUUGCUUAAAAGGUGCAAUUGCAUCACUACCAGAUGGACCUGCGUUGUAUUAGCUAGUUGGUGGGGUAACGGCUCACCAAGGCGACGAUACAUAGCCGACCUGAGGGGGGGGUCGGCCACACUGGGACUGAGACCCGGCCCAGACUCCUACGGGGGGCAGCAGUAGGGGAUCUUCGGCAAUGGGCGGAAGUCUGACCGAGCAACGCCGCGGGAGUGCAGAAGGUUUUCGGAUCGUAAAGCUCUGUUGUAAGGGAAGAACGAGUGUGAGAGUGGAAAGUUCACACUGUGACGGUAUCUUACCAGAAAGGGACGGCUAACUACGUG